This is a long non-coding RNA of Rosa chinensis, 321 nucleotides long. RefSeq lists it as uncharacterized. The transcript is spliced from 4 exons. The record is from RefSeq and is a predicted model, not a curated record. NCBI's taxonomy places the organism in Eukaryota, Viridiplantae, Streptophyta, Magnoliopsida, Rosales, Rosaceae.
UAAAAGCCGCCAUUGAACAACUAGGUAUCAAUGUUUCUGCAAAGUAGCUCUUGACUCAGGGUUAUCAAUCAGCGGAUUUAUCAACUGUUUACUUCAGUAUGGUGUAACUUUUGUUUAUGGAGUUGAUGUUGUAUAUGGACAGUUUUACAGGCAAGUGAUCAAGUUGAUUUGUUCCUCUUACCAGGAGUAGCAUUUGACAGACCUGGGAGACGUUUGGCUUGCGGCAGAGGCAAAUCUUGCUCAAGUGAGGGAGGCAAAUCAAGGCAGAUCAAGCAGAAAGACAAGAAAUGCAACUUGCAGAGUGAGUUGAUGGCUGCAAAG